Molecule: ribosomal RNA, 553 nt
Filed under: Staphylococcus cohnii
Lineage: Bacteria; Bacillati; Bacillota; Bacilli; Caryophanales; Staphylococcaceae
Description: bacterial SSU rRNA
Rfam family: Bacterial small subunit ribosomal RNA
Source: RNAcentral
CUUUGACGUUAGCGGCGGACGGGUGAGUAACACGUGGGUAACCUACCUAUAAGACUGGAAUAACUCCGGGAAACCGGGGCUAAUGCCGGAUAACAUUUAGAACCGCAUGGUUCUAAAGUGAAAGAUGGUUUUGCUAUCACUUAUAGAUGGACCCGCGCCGUAUUAGCUAGUUGGUAAGGUAACGGCUUACCAAGGCAACGAUACGUAGCCGACCUGAGAGGGUGAUCGGCCACACUGGAACUGAGACACGGUCCAGACUCCUACGGGAGGCAGCAGUAGGGAAUCUUCCGCAAUGGGCGAAAGCCUGACGGAGCAACGCCGCGUGAGUGAUGAAGGUCUUCGGAUCGUAAAACUCUGUUAUUAGGGAAGAACAAAUGUGUAAGUAACUAUGCACGUCUUGACGGUACCUAAUCAGAAAGCCACGGCUAACUACGUGCCAGCAGCCGCGGUAAUACGUAGGUGGCAAGCGUUAUCCGGAAUUAUUGGGCGUAAAGCGCGCGUAGGCGGUUUCUUAAGUCUGAUGUGAAAGCCCACGGCUCAACCGUGGAGGGUC